GGGAUACUAGCUCAGGCGGUAGAGCACUUGACUUUUAAUCAAGUUGUCCCGGGUUCGAGUCCCGGGUGUCUCAUCA
This 76-nucleotide transfer RNA is filed under the name Lachnoanaerobaculum saburreum DSM 3986. RNAcentral's name for it is "tRNA-Lys". It matches the Rfam family "tRNA". From Rfam's summary of the family: Transfer RNA (tRNA) molecules are approximately 80 nucleotides in length. Lineage: Bacteria; Bacillati; Bacillota; Clostridia; Lachnospirales; Lachnospiraceae. RNAcentral also lists the same sequence under 1 other name. The record is from RNAcentral.